Molecule: ribosomal RNA, 253 nt
Filed under: uncultured bacterium
Lineage: Bacteria
Description: partial 16S ribosomal RNA
Rfam family: Bacterial small subunit ribosomal RNA
Source: RNAcentral
UACGGGGGGGGCAAGCGUUGUUCGGAAUUACUGGGCGUAAAGGGCUCGUAGGCGGCCAACUAAGUCGGACGUGAAAUCCCUCGGCUUAACCGGGGAACUGCGUCUGAUACUGGAUGGCUUGAGAUUGGGAGAGGGAUGUGGAAUUCCAGGUGUAGCGGUGAAAUGCGUAGAUAUCUGGAGGAACACCGGUGGCGAAGGCGGCAUCCUGGACCGGUAUUGACGCUGAGGCGCGAAAGCCAGGGGAGCAAACGGG